ACUCCUACGGGAGGCAGCAGUGGGGAAUAUUGCACAAUGGGGAAACCCUGAUGCAGCCAUGCCGCGUGUGUGAAGAAGGCCUUCGGUUGUAAAGCACUUUCAGUAGGGAGGAAGGUAGUGUAGUUAAUACCUGCAUUAUUUGACGUUACCUACAGAAGAAGCACCGGCUAACUCCGUGCCAGCAGCCGCGGUAAUACGGAGGGGUGCGAGCGUUAAUCGGAAUUACUGGGCGUAAAGCGCAUGCAGGCGGCCUGUUAAGUCAGAUGUGAAAGCCCGGGGGCUUAACCUCGGAAUUGCAUUUGAAACUGGCAGGCUAGAGUCUUGUAGAGGGGGUAGAAUUUCAGGUGUAGCGGUGAAAUGCGUAGAGAUCUGAAGGAAUACCAGUGGCGAAGGCGGCCCCCUGGACAAAGACUGACGCUCAGAUGCGAAAGCGUGGGGAGCAAACAGGAUUAGAUACCCUGGUAGCACAGAG
This 472-nucleotide ribosomal RNA is filed under the name uncultured bacterium. RNAcentral's name for it is "bacterial SSU rRNA". It matches the Rfam family "Bacterial small subunit ribosomal RNA", at positions 335 to 799 of the family's 1533-position model. The record is from RNAcentral.